UAAUAGUGUAUAUUAAAGUUGUUGCAGUUAAAAAGCUCGUAGUUGAAUGUUGGUGUCGAACGAGCGGUCAGCUUCGGCUGUACUGCUCUCUCGACUCCUUCCUUCUGUGGACUACGUCGCACUUUACUGUGUGGCGCUAGGACGCAGAUCGUUUACUGUGAAAAAAUUAGAGUGUUCAAAGCAGGCCGUACGCUUGAAUACAUUAGCAUGGAAUAAUGGAAUAGGACGUCGGGCCUAUUUUGUUGGUUCUAGGACCGUCGUAAUGAUUAAUAGGGACAGUUGGGGCCGUUUAUAUUCCGUAGUCAGAGGUGAAAUUCUUGGAUUUAUCAAAGAUGAACGAGUGCGAAAGCAUUUACCAGGGAUGUUUUCAUUAA
This 374-nucleotide ribosomal RNA is filed under the name uncultured eukaryote. RNAcentral describes it as "partial 18S ribosomal RNA". It matches the Rfam family "Eukaryotic small subunit ribosomal RNA", at positions 592 to 976 of the family's 1831-position model. The record is from RNAcentral.